AGUGAACGCUGGCGCUAGGCCUAACACAUGCAAGUCGAACGGCAGCACAGUAAGAGCUUGCUCUUACGGGUGGCGAGUGGCGGACGGGUGAGGAAUACAUCGGAAUCUACUUUUUCGUGGGGGAUAACGUAGGGAAACUUACGCUAAUACCGCAUACGACCUACGGGUGAAAGCAGGGGAUCUUCGGACCUUGCGCGAUUGAAUGAGCCGAUGUCGGAUUAGCUAGUUGGCGGGGUAAAGGCCCACCAAGGCGACGAUCCGUAGCUGGUCUGAGAGGAUGAUCAGCCACACUGGAACUGAGACACGGUCCAGACUCCUACGGGAGGCAGCAGUGGGGAAUAUUGGACAAUGGGCGCAAGCCUGAUCCAGCCAUACCGCGUGGGUGAAGAAGGCUUUCGGGUUGUAAAGCCCUUUUGUUGGGAAAGAAAAGCAGCAGGUUAAUACCCCGCUGUUCUGACGGUACCCAAAGAAUAAGCACCGGCUAACUUCGUG
RNAcentral lists this ribosomal RNA (492 nucleotides) under uncultured bacterium. Its description in RNAcentral is "partial 16S ribosomal RNA". It matches the Rfam family "Bacterial small subunit ribosomal RNA", at positions 29 to 507 of the family's 1533-position model. The record is from RNAcentral.